This is a long non-coding RNA of Oncorhynchus tshawytscha (Chinook salmon), 1084 nucleotides long. The record is from Ensembl. Lineage: Eukaryota; Metazoa; Chordata; Actinopteri; Salmoniformes; Salmonidae.
AAGGCACCUCAGUGUGAAUGAAUGGGACAUCACUAUGAAUCACCAUAGGGCUCUGGAGAAAAGUAGUGCACUAUUUAGGGAAAAGGGUGCCAUUUGGGACAAUACCCUAGAUAUAAAAGCAGGAAGAUGAGGUUACUGGGACUGUAGUGGAGGUUACUGGGACUGUACUGUUAGUGGAGGUUACUGGGACUGUAGUGGAGGUUACUGGGACUGUACUGUUAGUGGAGGUUACUGGGACUGUAGUGGAGGUUACUGGGACUGUAGUGGAGGUUACUGGGACUGUUAGUGGAGGUUACUGGGACUGUAGUGGAGGUUACUGGGACUGUACUGUUAGUGGAGGUUACUGGGACUGUAGUGGAGGUUACUGGGACUGUAGUGGACGUUACUGGGACUGUAGUGGAGGUUACUGGGACUGUAGUGUAGGUUACUGGGACUGUACUGUUAGUGGAGAUUACUGGGACUGUAGUGGAGGUUACUGGGACUGUACUGUUAGUGGAGGUUACUGGGACUGUAGUGGAGGUUACUGGGACUGUACUGCUACUCAACAGAGUUCUAGAGGUUGUGAGUAGGCUUGCUUUCCAUAUACUGCUCAAUAUCCAGAUAAGAGACUAGAUUACAGGCGUAUGCAUGUUAAGAUGAGAGUUUCCACAACCAAUAGCCAACUCAUGUGGAUAAUGCACACAGACAGUUAUGCUUGGGGUGAGUUGGCUCCACAACGCCCUCUGGUGGUAGGAUUAUAUGCCCAGCACUCAAUAAAGCUGUCUACCUUUACCACAGGUGUCAGACUCGUUCCAUUAUAUGUCUAUGGGCCGAGUGUCUGUGGGUUUUUGCUCCUCGUUUGUACUUGAGUGAUCGAGUAAGGUCACUGAUUAGUUAGGAACACCCCUCCUCACCUGGUUGUCUAGGUCUUCAUUGGUUAGUUAGGAACUCCCCUCACCUGGUUGUCUAGGUCUUAAUUGGUUAGGAACUCCCCUCACCUGGUUAUCUAGGUCUUAAUUGGUUAGGAACUCCCCUCACCUGGUUGUCUAGGUCUUAAUUGGUUAGGAACUCCCCUCACCUGGUUGUCUAGGUCUUAAUUGGUUAG